Molecule: ribosomal RNA, 371 nt
Filed under: uncultured organism
Description: bacterial SSU rRNA
Rfam family: Bacterial small subunit ribosomal RNA
Source: RNAcentral
CAGAGGGGCGAGCGUUGUUCGGAAUUACUGGGCGUAAAGGGCGCGUAGGUGGCCUGUUAAGUCGAACGUGAAAUCCCCGGGCUCAACCCGGGAACUGCGUCCGAGACUGGCAGGCUCGAAUCCGGGAGAGGGAUGUGGAAUUCCAGGUGUAGCGGUGAAAUGCGUAGAUAUCUGGAGGAACACCGGUGGCGAAGGCGGCAUCCUGGACCGGUAUUGACGCUGAGGCGCGAAAGCCAGGGGAGCAAACGGGAUUAGAUACCCCGGUAGUCCUGGCCCUAAACGAUGAAUGCUUGGUGUGGCGGGUAUCGAUCCCUGCCGUGCCGAAGCUAACGCAUUAAGCAUUCCGCCUGGGGAGUACGGUCGCAAGGCUG